ACGCGAAAGUCCCUUCGGGGGCAAGUAGAGUGGCGUCCGGGUGAGUAACACGUAGGUAAUCUACCUCCGGGUGGGGAAUAACUCGCCGAAAGGCGAGCUAAUACCGCAUAAUGCAGCGGCACCUAAUGGUGAUUAGUUGUUAAAGCGGGGGAUCGCAAGACCUCGCGCUUGGAGAGGAGCCUGCGGCCGAUUAGCUAGUUGGUGAGGUAAUGGCUCACCAAGGCUGCGAUCGGUAGCUGGUCUGAGAGGACGGCCAGCCACACUGGCACUGAAAUACGGGCCAGACUCCUACGGGAGGCAGCAGUGGGGAAUUUUGGGCAAUGGGCGAAAGCCUGAUCCAGCAACGCCGCGUGAGGGAGGAAAUCCUUCGGGAUGUAAACCUCGCAAGCAGGGGAAGAGCGCUUCCGGUCUAAUAAAUCGGAAGUCCGACGGUACCCUGCGUAAGCCACGGCUAACUACGUGCCAGCAGCCGCGGUAAUACGUAGGUGGCAAGCGUUGUUCGGAAUUAUUGGGCGUAAAG
This 520-nucleotide ribosomal RNA is filed under the name uncultured bacterium. Its description in RNAcentral is "bacterial SSU rRNA". It matches the Rfam family "Bacterial small subunit ribosomal RNA", at positions 66 to 565 of the family's 1533-position model. The record is from RNAcentral.